CGCGCCCCCAACCGUAUUUCCGCUGGCGCAGAGCACCGGAGAGGGAGUCUUGUGGCUGCGGUUUGCAGACUGCUCUUCGCCCCCCUCCGCGAGGUUACCCCUGUACUCGCCGCCAUCCAUCCUGACGCCCGGGAUGAGUCACUGAGGGGCAGCGCCCGAGGCGUGGUCUUACCAAGAACCCCCAGUGGCCUCCCAAGGCCGGUGCUGUGUACCUCCUUCCCGACAAAAGGGGAAACUGAGGCCCCGAGGGGAGUGGGAAGAGCCGGCCGGACGUCAGGCCCAGCCCCUGGUGCAGUGCUGCGUCCCCUCCGCCGGGGUGGGCCCCUCAGGAUUCGCGUGUCCUCGGGAAAGAGACUGGCGGGCCUCGUGGGCUGUGCGGCUCUCCUGGAGACAGAUGACAGCUCUCCCUUGGAUGACUUUGCUGGUUCCGCACCAGCCAGAGCCCCCGUUUUUCCUGCAGCACCCUGAUCUGCACUCCCUGAGGGGCUCCCACUGUCCGCGCGGUGAGGAUGUCCCUGGAUAGUCCACUGUGUGCAGAGGCAUGGGAGUUGUCAUGUCGGGAACAUGCUAGACCUUAGUGUCCUUGAGCUUGAAGAAAUUUGGCAGAACACUGGCGACCAAGCACUUGCAGCCUCCUGCUCUGUGGCCCCUCCUCACUCCAGGGAUGCCGCCUUGGUCUGGAGACUGUUGGAGGAAACCCCAGGAGGUGCAGGCACUGAGCCUCUCGAGACAAUGACCUGGGGUCCCAGCUUCCCUGGAGGGGUCUCCUCAUGGCCAGGCCAUCCAGUGGCCAUCCUCCGUGUCCUCCCGCCUGCUCCUGGUGUGACUUCUGAAAACCAAGAAUUUGUUCCUGUUGACUUUUUCUGUGCUAUGGACCAUUGUCCUCUCAUGCACUCAAUAAAUCUUGAAACAUGCCCUGCUGCUA
RNAcentral lists this long non-coding RNA (925 nucleotides) under Theropithecus gelada (gelada). Its description in RNAcentral is "lncRNA (ENSTGEG00000000550.1)". Lineage: Eukaryota; Metazoa; Chordata; Mammalia; Primates; Cercopithecidae. The record is from RNAcentral.